CAGCCGCCGCGGUAAUACGUAGGGUGCGAGCGUUAAUCGGAAUUACUGGGCGUAAAGCGUGCGCAGGCGGUUAUGUAAGACAGAUGUGAAAUCCCCGGGCUCAACCUGGGAACUGCAUUUGUGACUGCAUGGCUAGAGUACGGGAGAGGGGGAUGGAAUUCCGCGUGUAGCAGUGAAAUGCGUAGAUAUGCGGAGGAACACCGAUGGCGAAGGCAAUCCCCUGGACCUGUACUGACGCUCAUGCACGAAAGCGUGGGGAGCAAACAGGAUUAGAUACCCUGGUAGUCCACGCCCUAAACGAUGUCAACUGGUUGUUGGGAAUUAGUUUUCUCAGUAACGAAGCUAACGCGUGAAGUUGACCGCCUGGGGAGUACGGCCGCAAGGUUGAAACUUAAAGGAAUUGGCGGG
Molecule: ribosomal RNA, 408 nt
Filed under: uncultured microorganism
Description: bacterial SSU rRNA
Rfam family: Bacterial small subunit ribosomal RNA
Source: RNAcentral